UACGUAGGGGGCGAGCGUUGUCCGGAUUCAUUGGGCGUAAAGCGCGCGCAGGCGGCCGCGAGAGCCCGGCGUGAAAGCCCCCGGCUCAACCGGGGGAGGCCGUCGGGGACCUCGCGGCUGGAGGCCGGUAGGGGCGAGCGGAAUUCCCGGUGUAGCGGUGAAAUGCGCAGAUAUCAGGAGGAACACCUAUUGCGAAGGCAGCUCGCUGGGACGUAACUGACGCUGAGACGCGAAAGCGUGGGGAGCAAACAGG
This 253-nucleotide ribosomal RNA is filed under the name uncultured bacterium. Its description in RNAcentral is "partial 16S ribosomal RNA". It matches the Rfam family "Bacterial small subunit ribosomal RNA", at positions 524 to 776 of the family's 1533-position model. The record is from RNAcentral.